CCUACGGGAGGCAGCAGUGGGGAAUAUUGCACAAUGGGGGAAACCCUGAUGCAGCGACGCCGCGUGAAGGAAGAAGUAUUUCGGUAUGUAAACUUCUAUCAGCAGGGAAGAAAAUGACGGUACCUGACUAAGAAUCCCCGGCUAACUACGUGCCAGCAGCCGCGGUAAUACGUAGGGGGCAAGCGUUAUCCGGAUUUACUGGGUGUAAAGGGAGCGUAGGCGGUUCAGCAAGUCAGAAGUGAAAGCACGGGGCUCAACUCCGGGACUGCUUUUGAAACUGGUGAACUAGAGUGCAGGAGAGGGAAGUGGAAUUCCUAGUGUAGCGGUGAAAUGCGUAGAUAUUAGGAGGAACACCAGUGGCGAAGGCGGCUUACUGGACUGGAAAUGACGCUGAGGCUCGAAAGCGUGGGGAGCAAACAGGAUUAGAUACCCUGGUAGUC
RNAcentral lists this ribosomal RNA (440 nucleotides) under uncultured bacterium. RNAcentral describes it as "partial 16S ribosomal RNA". It matches the Rfam family "Bacterial small subunit ribosomal RNA", at positions 338 to 795 of the family's 1533-position model. The record is from RNAcentral.